Molecule: long non-coding RNA, 1021 nt
Filed under: Anas platyrhynchos platyrhynchos (common mallard)
Lineage: Eukaryota; Metazoa; Chordata; Aves; Anseriformes; Anatidae
Description: lncRNA (ENSAPLG00000021026.1)
Source: RNAcentral
UACCUGAUGUUAGUUUUGAAAGUUUAGGUCUUAAGUUAGAACUCCUGUCUCUGCAGGACACUUGUAUUGCCUAUGAACAAGAGAAUGAAUUUUGAAGAACUGUUCAUCUUUCUGAAGGAAGAACUAAAUCAAAUGCUGAUCAGUAUUGCUCAGUGAGGGGACCUCUCUGGAGUCUGAAGUCCUUCCUGGAAUAUGGUCCAACCAUCAGUUAUUGGUUACUUCUGCAAGGUACUUCAUGACAGACAUCAACAGAGAUGUGAAGUUGAGGAAAAUAAAUUGUUGGCCCAAAGUCAUUCAGCAGAGCAAUAGUAGAGCCUUGAGCUGGGUUAAGUACUUCAACCAAUAUAACAUUCUCCUCAGGAGAGAAGAAUUUGCUUUGAGGACCCUUAGAAAAUUCAGUGUUUAUUUGACAAGACUUUCUAAAUGUAUACAGUCUUGGAACUGAGUAUUCCUUCUUUUCAGAGGAUAUCAACUUAAACAUUAAAGGAAGACACAAGAAAAUGUCAAGAUCAUGGUGAUAAUAUUUGCUUGCAGAAGAAAUGGCCAGAGCAGUGACAACUUUGGGCAGCAACUGUUUAAAUCACCCUGUGGAGGUGUCCCUUGGGGAGACCUCACUCUGGAUUUGUUGGUAGUGAAAUCAUUGACUUGUACCUUUACUUUCGUCACAUAUCCUGUGGAGACUUCUGCGCAAACCCAGCUUACAGACUCUCUUUGAAGGCAAGAUGAGAAUGCUCUCUUCUCUGGCACUGAGAAGCACAAGUCUUAAAACUACCUCUCAGUGAUGCUUUCAGCAGACAGGUGCAUGGUGGACCAAUGAGUGUCUACUCCUCAUCCCUCCAGUGCCAGUGGAUAUGGGAUAGAAAUCACAUGAAUGUUUUCAGCAUUGUGUCACCAUCAUUGUCCCUGUUACUUUGCCAGAAGAGCUCCUUUCUUUGCAGAGGUAUACAGACAAAGUGAUCAGUAUGUCUGUUUAAGAUUUGUAAUAAGUAAAAAAUAAAUAUUUACUCUGAAGCUUGAGUCA